Molecule: ribosomal RNA, 449 nt
Filed under: uncultured bacterium
Lineage: Bacteria
Description: bacterial SSU rRNA
Rfam family: Bacterial small subunit ribosomal RNA
Source: RNAcentral
UACCAGACUCCUACGGGAGGCAGCAGUGGGGAAUAUUGGGCAAUGGGCGCAAGCCUGACCCAGCAACGCCGCGUGAAGGAAGAAGGCUUUCGGGUUGUAAACUUCUUUUAUGAGGGACGAAACAAAUGACGGUACCUCAUGAAUAAGCCACGGCUAACUACGUGCCAGCAGCCGCGGUAAUACGUAGGUGGCAAGCGUUAUCCGGAUUUAUUGGGUUUAAAGGGUGCGCAGGCGGAUUUUUAAGUCAGCGGUCAAAUCGUGGGGCUCAACCCCAUCCAGCCGUUGAAACUGGGGAUCUAGAGUGUGCGAGAGGUAUGCGGAAUGCGUGGUGUAGCGGUGAAAUGCAUAGAUAACACGCAGAACCCCGAUUGCGAAGGCAGCAUACCGGUGCACAACUGACGCUCAGGCACGAAAGCGUGGGUAUCGAACAGGAUUAGAUACCCGCGUAA